GUCGUGCAUUCAUACUGUACGUACAAUGAUGAGCCUUACCUUGAUUGCAGCUUUACUCUUCAGUCUGCUGUCUGUCUCAGUGUCUGAGUUUCACACCGUGGAUGCUCAACCUGGUGAAGAAGUCACACUGCUGUGCUCCAAUUUCACCCUUUUCCCCUUGCACAUAACCUGGUUCAGACUGAACAGCACAUCCAACACCAGCAGAAUCUCCUCUCUGUCCAGCGCCGAUAAGAAAGCUUUUUUCUUUGGUGAAUUUCAAAACAGCAGCUUUGACGUGACAUCCAACAGCACUCAUCUGUUUCUCAAGAUGAAACAGGUGGAUUUUAGUCACUCUGGACUUUAUUUGUAAGUGCAACGUACUUCAAAGUUCAAGAAGCAUUCAUUGGUAGAGACAGCUAUCUGAAUAUGAUCCUGGGUGCUCUGGUUGUUUUCCUCUCUGCUGUCAUCUUUACUCUGGUUGUACUCAUCAGAAAACCUCAAACAGCGCGUAAAGAGGACCAGGAUCCACAGCAAAGUGAG
Labrus bergylta (ballan wrasse) is the source of this 519-nucleotide non-coding RNA. The record is from RefSeq and is a predicted model, not a curated record. Lineage: Eukaryota; Metazoa; Chordata; Actinopteri; Labriformes; Labridae.